UGGGAUUUCCUGGGGCCGCAAGCCUGAUGCAGCGACGCCGCGUGAGGGUGACGGCCUUCGGGUUGUAAACCUCUUUCAGUAUAGAACAAGGCCUUCGGGUUGAGGGUAUGUGCAGAAGAAGCGCCGGCUAACUACGUGCCAGCAGCCGCGGUAAU
Molecule: ribosomal RNA, 155 nt
Filed under: uncultured Actinomycetes bacterium
Lineage: Bacteria; Bacillati; Actinomycetota; Actinomycetes
Description: uncultured actinobacterium partial 16S ribosomal RNA
Rfam family: Bacterial small subunit ribosomal RNA
Source: RNAcentral